Pelobates cultripes (western spadefoot toad) is the source of this 290-nucleotide non-coding RNA. The record is from the annotation of a GenBank genome assembly. Lineage: Eukaryota; Metazoa; Chordata; Amphibia; Anura; Pelobatidae.
GACUCAUACACUAUCUCUGCUGGAGGGAGCUCAUAAACCAGCCAAACCACCUGGUCAGGACUAAGGGAGUUGCAGUGAGAAUAUCCCAGAGUAAAAAAUACUCUGGGGGUCAGCCAGAGCAACUUACCCUGUUCGUCCGACCUUCAGGUAAGGUGAUGGGAGCACGCCAACUCCUGGACACGAGAAGUGCAGAGGAUACCGAUCCCGCCAAAAACAGCUACCGAAAAUCACUCCCGGACCGUAAAUGGAGGACCAGGUUGGAGAUACAGUAAAGAGAAUAGGAUAAAAAC